RNAcentral lists this small RNA (180 nucleotides) under Salvator merianae (Argentine black and white tegu). RNAcentral's name for it is "TUC338 (ENSSMRG00000023400.1)". The record is from RNAcentral. Lineage: Eukaryota; Metazoa; Chordata; Lepidosauria; Squamata; Teiidae.
CUGACAGCACUGGAAAUUGAAGUCCUCUAUUUCUCCACAGGACUGGCAUAGCAUGGGCGGAGGCAGCCAUGCAAGCUUCGCCACACUGCCAUGCCAAUGUGUCUCAACCCUCUUCUGAAGAGAGCACUUCUGGAGGUGAGUGGGGAGUCAGUCUCUAUGUCUGUCCAAUCAUUGGCCUAU